AUAAUAUGCAUAAUGUUUAAUCUGGCUGUAAGAUCUUUAUGACAGAUUUGUCUGUAACUGAAAUUUUGGUCAAGGCAGAUUUAUGCAUCAAUGAGAAAGUUUUACUAUGUGGGAUUUGGCAUGGUUUUUUUGUAGCUGCUUGCUAAGUAGAUGGAUGAGUCUGAGAAUGGGUAACAGGACAGAUGCCACAUUUUUAUGAUGAUUGGUGUCUGUAACUGCUUGGCCACCUGAUGAAGCAUAAUAAUAAUCCCCCAACCCCCAGAUUGUCUCAAAGCAGCUUUACAGACAUUACUGUCUUAAUUUCCAGUCAGCAAGGGUAAAUAUCUUAGCAUGGAGUUAGAAGGAGAAAGGAAAGUACUAAGACUCAGGAAGGGAAGCCUGUCUUCAUCAGGUUGACACUGGGAAUGAGUUAGAUGAAUCAUCUGGGUUUAAAAAUGUGUGCUCAGACAAAUGGCCAAAUAAAACUGUGUGUGUGUGUGUGUGUGUGUGUGUGUGUACCUGGUUGUGUCCUGAAAUAAUGUUACUGUCUGUGUGGAAUUUCAUAUGUUGUCCUCGGGUCUGUGUGGGUUUCUUCCGAAUUCUCUGGUUUCCUCCCACCUCCCAAAAACAUACCAGUAGGUUGAUUGACUACACUAAACUGGCUCUUUGUGUGAAUGAGUAUGAGUAUGUGAAUGUGUGUGCAUGAUGCCCUGCAACGGACUGGUGUUCCAUCCAGGGUGUUCCUGGGAUAGGCGACCCUGACCAAGAUAAAGCAGUUACUGAAGAUGAGUGAAUGAAUUAUUAGGUCAAGAUCUUGCACUAUCCUGAAAGAAAACUAAGAAGUUCCUGGAUGCCUGCUGUGUCACAUUUGCACAACAGCUAAAAGCAGGAGGAAAUAUUUCUACUUCCAAGAGUCAACUGCAAAUUCAAGAUACUGACUGUGUGCUGUUUCACUGGCCCUCAAUACAACACGUCAUCAGAUCCUUGCGUUCUAUGAACUGGAACUUCAUCUUCAGGACUCUACAUAAUGCACUUUAUAUCCUAAGCACACCUGGGCGUUUUGUCUUGUACAGGGGUGAGUUUGUUUUUGGAGCUCAGGAAGGUGAUUCUUUUCUCCCUUCACUGUCAACACG
Molecule: long non-coding RNA, 1112 nt
Organism: Ictalurus punctatus (channel catfish)
Lineage: Eukaryota; Metazoa; Chordata; Actinopteri; Siluriformes; Ictaluridae
Source: Ensembl